Saccostrea echinata is the source of this 361-nucleotide long non-coding RNA. RefSeq lists it as uncharacterized. Lineage: Eukaryota; Metazoa; Mollusca; Bivalvia; Ostreida; Ostreidae. The transcript has 3 exons. The record is from RefSeq and is a predicted model, not a curated record.
UGACGCAAUUGAUUAUGUCGUAACAUGCCAUUUGAACGCAGAAGAUGCAGAAUCGCGCAUAUACUGCCAAGAAACACCAUAUCUAGGAAGGAAACAGGAGGGACGUUCAUCUGUUAUUGUGAAUCCUGAGAAGUAUACAUUACUUGAUAAAGGAAAGGGAUUUUAAACGAAGAUCAUACUUAACCUUGAGAGGACAUCUCUGAUGAGAAGAAGGAACUAGAACUACUAAGGGUGAAUAAAAUUUUGGAGAAUGGAAAACUGGAGAUCAUCAUCCGUUGCAGAAGAACCUGAAUUUUACACACAGGCAGAGGAGCUAGACUGUUUAACUCGGUUAGAAUAUUAUAUGAAAAGUGAGUGAUAC